GCGGAGGGCCAGAUGGCCGCGUGGGGGCGACCCCGCGAGGAAAGUCCGGACUCCACAAGGCAACGGUGCCGGGUAACGCCCGGGCGGGGAAACCCGACGGAAAGCGCCACAGAGAAAAGUCUGCCUUCGUUUCGGCGGAGGUGAGGGUGAAACGGUGGGGUAAGAGCCCACCGCCCGUCUGGCAACAGAGGGGGCACGGCAAGCCCCACCGGGAGCAAUGCCAAAUAGGGAUCGCACAUGGGCAGCCUUGGCCCUGCGGUCCGGGUCGGCAGCUUGAGCCCGCGGGCAACCGCGGGACCAGAGGAAUGGUCAUCGGCCACGGGGAAACCCGCGGUUACAGAAUCCGGCUUACAGGCCCUCCGCGCAU
RNAcentral lists this RNase P RNA (367 nucleotides) under Marimonas arenosa. Its description in RNAcentral is "RNase P RNA component class A". It matches the Rfam family "Bacterial RNase P class A". Rfam says of the family: Ribonuclease P (RNase P) is a ubiquitous endoribonuclease, found in archaea, bacteria and eukarya as well as chloroplasts and mitochondria. Its best characterised activity is the generation of mature 5'-ends of tRNAs by cleaving the 5'-leader elements of precursor-tRNAs. Cellular RNase Ps are ribonucleoproteins. The record is from RNAcentral. Lineage: Bacteria; Pseudomonadati; Pseudomonadota; Alphaproteobacteria; Rhodobacterales; Paracoccaceae.